GCCGGGGUGGCGAAACUGGCAGACGUGCUAGCUUGAGGGGCUAGUGCCCUUUGGGGCGUAGGAGUUCAAAUCUCCUCCCCGGCACCA
Molecule: transfer RNA, 87 nt
Filed under: candidate division TA06 bacterium
Lineage: Bacteria
Description: tRNA-Leu
Rfam family: tRNA
About the family: Transfer RNA (tRNA) molecules are approximately 80 nucleotides in length. Their secondary structure includes four short double-helical elements and three loops (D, anti-codon, and T loops).
Source: RNAcentral